RNAcentral lists this long non-coding RNA (1631 nucleotides) under Olea europaea subsp. europaea. The record is from RNAcentral. Lineage: Eukaryota; Viridiplantae; Streptophyta; Magnoliopsida; Lamiales; Oleaceae.
CGUGACUAAUGUUUGCAAAUAUGGAUGAUGAUUUCCGCAUUAGGUAGUUAAAUGCCAUAUAAUUUUUCCAAACACGCCUCCAAACAAACUAUACCCAAAAUCAAAAGAAGUUGUGAUUCAUAUUCUCCCAAAUCGCCUCACCCACUUCAACAUUUCAAAUCUCCUCACCCAUUUCAAGAUCUCGAAGCUAACAUUGAUGAAGCACAAUGCAUCCGAAACAGAAAAUCAAGCUUUCAUCAUCACCCGUCCCAACCCACAAGUCUUGUGGUUUUCAAGAUUCGCCCAUGGAAUCUCCACAUCCAGGUAAAUUCUCAUUUUCUUCUUGGAGUUUAUGCAUUAUUUGACGUGCAUAUAUGUUUUUUGUAUGAGUUCUACUCACUGUUAUGAGUUUGAUGCAUAUAUUAAUUAUUUUGGAGUUAGGGAUUGUAUUCUUUGAGAUCAUUCUGACGAAAAUUACCUUUCUAGUGAGAAACAUGCCUGUAUGGAAACUUAAUGAGCUAACCUAGAAUCCUAAGAAAGUUUAGGCCGAUUUAUUAGGUGAUUAUUGAUAAUAGAUGCUGUAAGGUGCUGAUAACGACUGAUUUCACUGUCAACAAAUUGAAAACUAGAUUCAAUUGAUGAUAUAAAGGUUAUGGUAGUAUAUUGUUGGAAUAAAGGAUAAAUCUGGCACUGUAAUUCUUGUUAAGAGUUUGCAUAUUUUGAUUACUAUGGUGUUUCCAGUAGAUGCGGAUGAUGACCUGGACUUCAAUGAUUAUGAUAAUCGUCUGGUGAAUACGAUUUGCUAUUCGAGAAAAAUGUAACAGGUGACCUAUCAAAAAAAGAAAAAUGUAACAGGUGGAAUUAAGUUAGGUUUUGAUGAGGGGCCACUGAACGUGAAGAAGAGGAUUAUGUGGUAGUGGUGCAGGACGAAGAUGAUGAGGCCGAUGAUUUGGAAUAUCCAUCAUCUAAAGAACUGGUUCGAAGAACCUUUGGAGCCAAUAGAGAGGGGAAGGCCACUUGACAUGGACAACAAGAGAAAUGGAGUAAGUGAUUUCAUUCCACUCAUUUUAUUGCAUUUGUGUAAUUCGUAUCUCAAAUAACUUAUAUUCCUUUCAACUAUCAAGGAAAGCUUAUGCUAGAUAGAAGUAAUGGUGUUUUAUCUAAUUAAUCACAUGAAUAACAACAAACUUUUCUUUUUGAAUAAUGCUACUUGCAGUCGUCCUAUGUGGCAUACGUAUAGCGAUUAAUGAUUUGAUGCAAGACAAUAAAAAAAACUAGCACAUUAAUGUUUCAAAUCAAUAAUUGUCACAUGUAUGCCACGCAAGGCAACUAUGGUAGUGAGCGACUGCAAAUAGUAUUACUCAUUCUUUUUAUGACCAUUCUUGGUGUCAAGAUACAAUCUGAAACUUGAUUAUGAAAUUGACAAGAAAUGUGAUGUGUAAACGUAACUAAAUAUGGUAUAGAGGCUGGUUUUGGUUUAUGGUUGGUGCAUCAACAUGCAGCCUCUCUUUUUUGUUUUUGAUGGUGUGUGUAUAUAUAUAUAUAACCAGAGGUUUAUUUCAUGGUUGCUUAUAAGUAUUGCUCAUGAAAACGUGUUACUGCUACGUUCUUUUCCGUUGGAAGUUAUGCCUUUAACAGAUGUUGAUAAUGCU